Potamilus streckersoni is the source of this 67-nucleotide non-coding RNA. NCBI's taxonomy places the organism in Eukaryota, Metazoa, Mollusca, Bivalvia, Unionida, Unionidae. The record is from the annotation of a GenBank genome assembly.
GUGGCCAAAUGGUUAGAGCGUCCGCCUCGGAUGCGUGACGUCGCGGGUUCGAACCCCGGCCAAGUCA